RNAcentral lists this ribosomal RNA (828 nucleotides) under uncultured bacterium. RNAcentral describes it as "bacterial SSU rRNA". It matches the Rfam family "Bacterial small subunit ribosomal RNA", at positions 8 to 815 of the family's 1533-position model. The record is from RNAcentral.
AGAGUUUGAUCCUGGCUCAGGAUGAACGUUAGCUACAGGCUUAACACAUGCAAGUCGAGGGGCAUCAGUUUGGUUUGCUUGCAAACCAAAGCUGGCGACCGGCGCACGGGUGAGUAACACGUAUCCAACCUGCCUCAUACUCGGGGAUAGCCUUUCGAAAGAAAGAUUAAUAUCCGAUAGCAUAUAUUUCCCGCAUGGGUUUUAUAUUAAAGAAAUUCGGUAUGAGAUGGGGAUGCGUUCCAUUAGUUUGUUGGGGGGGUAACGGCCCACCAAGACUACGAUGGAUAGGGGUUCUGAGAGGAAGGUCCCCCACAUUGGAACUGAGACACGGUCCAAACUCCUACGGGAGGCAGCAGUGAGGAAUAUUGGUCAAUGGACGCGAGUCUGAACCAGCCAAGUAGCGUGAAGGAUGACUGCCCUAUGGGUUGUAAACUUCUUUUAUAUGGGAAUAAAGUUGUUCACUUGUCGAUUUUUGUAAGUACCAUACGAAUAAGGAUCCGCUAACUCCGUGCCAGCAGCCGCGGUAAUUCGGAGGAUCCGGAGCGUUAUCCUCAUUUAUUGGGUUUAAAGGGAGCGUAGGCGGAUUGUUAACGUACAUGUUGUGAAAGUUUGCGGCUCUCAAGUAAAAUUGCACUUGAUACUGGCUGUCUUGAGUGCACUAGAGGUGGGCGGAAUUUUGUGGUGUAGCGGUGAAAUGCUUAGAUAUCUUCGAAGAGACUCCCCAUUGCGAAGGCAGCUCACUGGAGUGUAACUGACGGUGAUGCUUGAAAGUGUGGGUAUCAAACCGGAUUUAGAUACCCUGGUAGUCCACACAGUAAACGAUGAAUA